This 522-nucleotide ribosomal RNA is filed under the name uncultured bacterium. RNAcentral's name for it is "bacterial SSU rRNA". It matches the Rfam family "Bacterial small subunit ribosomal RNA", at positions 988 to 1509 of the family's 1533-position model. The record is from RNAcentral.
CCAGAGAACUUUCCAGAGAUGGAUUGGUGGCCUUCGGGAACUCUGAGACAGGUGCUGCAUGGCUGUCGUCAGCUCGUGUUGUGAAAUGUUGGGUUAAGUCCCGCAACGAGCGCAACCCUUAUCCUUUGUUGCCAGCGGUUAGGCCGGGAACUCAAAGGAGACUGCCAGUGAUAAACUGGAGGAAGGUGGGGAUGACGUCAAGUCAUCAUGGCCCUUACGAGUAGGGCUACACACGUGCUACAAUGGCGCAUACAAAGAGAAGCGACCUCGCGAGAGCAAGCGGACCUCAUAAAGUGCGUCGUAGUCCGGAUUGGAGUCUGCAACUCGACUCCAUGAAGUCGGAAUCGCUAGUAAUCGUGGAUCAGAAUGCCACGGUGAAUACGUUCCCGGGCCUUGUACACACCGCCCGUCACACCAUGGGAGUGGGUUGCAAAAGAAGUAGGUAGCUUAACCUUCGGGAGGGCGCUUACCACUUUGUGAUUCAUGACUAGGGUGAAGUCGUAACAAGGUAAGCGUAGUGCU